AUGAAGGCCAUGUCAGUGCUGCAACUUCUACUCUAUGUUCUCUUCCUAACGGUCUUGUUCGCCUGGUCGGCGACUUGCCACGUGGCUGUGCGCGCCCACCUCACGCACGUCGACAGCACCCGUGGCUUCACCAAGCGCGACCUACUCCACCGGAUGGCAGUUCGGACGCGGAACCGCGUCAACAAGCGGUGGUCACCGCCCGGUCGCGGCCGCGGCGGCACCAGCGACUACGCGGUGACUGCAUCGGGGUCCCGCGACGUGGAUGUCCCCAAUUCCGAGUACCUCAUCCACUUUGGCAUCGGCACACCGCGCCCUCAGCGUGUGGCGCUGACGCUGGACACUGGCAGCGACCUCAUUUGGACGCAGUGCGCUUGUGCAGUCUGCUUCGACCAGCCGUUCCGGGCUAUCGACACCUCCACCUCCGGCACCCAACGCGGUGUCUCGUGCUUCGAUCCCGUCUGCACGCGCGGGGGCCUCCCGUUCUCCGGAUGCGGCGUCAAGGACAACUUGUGCUUCUACGCCUACUCCUAUCCUGGCAACUCGAUCACGACGGGCAAGAUCUACGAGGACACCUUCACCUUCCAGGCGCCCGGUGGCAAGGUCGAUGGCGUGGCCGUGCCUAGCCUACGCUUUGGCUGCGGCAUGUACAACAAGGGCAUCUUCAAAUCAAACGAGUCGGGCAUUGCCGGCUUCGGCCGCGGGCUGAUGUCUCUGCCGUCGCAGCUCAAGGUCAACAAGUUCUCCCACUGCUUCACGAUCACCGGAGAGUACAAAACCAGCCCCAUGUUCCUGGGUACGCCAGACAACCUUGAAGCGCAAGCCACGGGGCCCAUCCAAUACACCCCAUUCGCCCCAAGCCCCGAGGGUCCAAACAGCUCACAGUACUACCUUUCGCUCAAAGGCAUCACCGUCGGCAAGACGCGACUGAUGUUGGACCCGUCGGUGUUUGUGCUCAAGGGUGAUGGCUCCGGCGGGACGAUCAUCGACUCUGGCAUGGGCAUCACGACCUUCCCACGUGCCGUGUUCCAAACACUCCGGGAUGAGCUCGCGAAACAGGUUCCACUAACUGUCCUCGACGGCACGACGAUCGAUGGCGCCGAGUUGCUGUGCUUCUCCACGUCGCCGAACCAGAAGGUGCCCACCAUACCGAAGGUGAUCCUCCAUCUGGAGGGCGCGGACUGGGACCUUCCACGGGAGAGCUACGUGCUGGAUUUCGAGGACGGUCUGUGCGUGCCGAUAUCUUCGUCGGGCGAGAGCGACAUGACCAUCAUAGGCAACUUCCAGCAGCAGAACAUGCACAUCAUCUACGACCUCGAGAGCAACAAGCUGGGCUUCGUGCCUGCACGCUGUGACAAGCUGUGA
RNAcentral lists this ribosomal RNA (1362 nucleotides) under Triticum aestivum (bread wheat). RNAcentral describes it as "partial small subunit ribosomal RNA". Lineage: Eukaryota; Viridiplantae; Streptophyta; Magnoliopsida; Poales; Poaceae. The record is from RNAcentral.